GCCCGUGUAGCACAGUGGUAGUGCGCCUGACUACGAUUUAUCGGGUUCUCUCGCGUGAUCGAUCAGGAGGUCGAGGUUUCGAACACCUCCUCGGGUU
Non-coding RNA from Kwoniella sp. DSM 27419, 97 nucleotides. Lineage: Eukaryota; Fungi; Basidiomycota; Tremellomycetes; Tremellales; Cryptococcaceae. The record is from the annotation of a GenBank genome assembly.